GGUGGCUCAGCGGUAGAGCACUUGCCUAGCAUGCACGAGGCCCUGGGUUUGAUCCCCAGCACCA
RNAcentral lists this transfer RNA (64 nucleotides) under Heterocephalus glaber (naked mole-rat). It matches the Rfam family "tRNA". From Rfam's summary of the family: Transfer RNA (tRNA) molecules are approximately 80 nucleotides in length. Lineage: Eukaryota; Metazoa; Chordata; Mammalia; Rodentia; Bathyergidae. The record is from Rfam by way of RNAcentral.